UACGACGGGUACGGGUUGUGAGAGCAAGAGCCCGGAGAUGGAUUCUGAGACACGAAUCCAGGCCCUACGGGGUGCAGCAGGCGCGAAAACUUUACAAUGCUGGCAACAGCGAUAAGGGAACCUCGAGUGCCAGGUUACAAAUCUGGCUGUCGUGAUGCCUAAAAAGCAUUUCAUAGCAAGGGCCGGGCAAGACCGGUGCCAGCCGCCGCGGUAACACCGGCGGCUCGAGUGGUAACCGUUAUUAUUGGGUCUAAAGGGUCUGUAGCCGGCCGGAUAAGUCUCUUGAGAAAUCUGGCAGCUUAACUGUCAGGCUUUCAGGAGAUACUGUCUGGCUCGAGGCCGGGAGAGGUGAGAGGUACUUCAGGGGUAGGGGUGAAAUCUUGUAAUCCUUGAAGGACCACCAGUGGCGAAGGCGUCUCACCAGAACGGACCUGACGGCAAGGGACGAAAGCUAGGGGCACGAACCGGAUUAGAUACCCGGGUAGUCCUAGCCGUAAACGAUACUCGCUAGGUGUCGGCCACGGUGCGACCGUUGUCGGUGCCGUAGGGAAGCCGUGAAGCGAGC
RNAcentral lists this ribosomal RNA (565 nucleotides) under uncultured archaeon. RNAcentral's name for it is "bacterial SSU rRNA". It matches the Rfam family "Archaeal small subunit ribosomal RNA", at positions 259 to 824 of the family's 1478-position model. The record is from RNAcentral.